ACAUGCUCGCUAGGAUAUCGCAUCCUAUGCAUACGUAUCUCCUUGGACGAAGGAGAAUCAGAGCAUUCGUAGCUCGGCUGACACGCCCACAAACAAACACAGGCAAAGGCAAACAUGGAGCCUGAAUGCCAAUCACUGGACUUACAUCAGCAUCCGAACCAAAACGCACACAAGAAGGCAAACGUGGAGCCUGAAUGCCAAUCACUGGGCUUACAUCAGCAUCCGAACCAAC
Molecule: long non-coding RNA, 232 nt
Filed under: Lathyrus oleraceus (garden pea)
Lineage: Eukaryota; Viridiplantae; Streptophyta; Magnoliopsida; Fabales; Fabaceae
Description: Pisum sativum (pea) long non-coding RNA (PSAT_LNC016094)
Source: RNAcentral